CCUGGUUGAUCCUGCCAGUAUCUCAUCUCUUAGUUAAAAGAUUAAUCCAUGCAUGUGUUUGGCACAGUUAUAGUGCCUGCAGAUGGCUCAUUAAAACAAAGAUAACUUAACCUGUAUUAUAUUCGGAUAACUUUGCUAAUUGUGAGGCUAAUACGUGAUAAAAAGUAUUAUGCUACUCCCGUUCUAGAAUUACGAGUUAAGGAACAUAGCGAGAGUUUUAGACAUGCUCUAGUCAGGGAAGGUCUUUGAUCUAUCAGCUACAGACGGUUAUGUAUUGGAUAACCGUGGCAUUGACGGAUAACGGGGAAUUAGGGUUUGGUUCCGGAGAGAGCGCAUGAGAAAUUGCGCUUACAGCUAAGGUUGGCAGCAGGAGCGAAAACUUUUCGAAUGAGCAAUGCUUGAAAAGGUGACGAACUGUAUUAACAUCAGCUACAAGUUGGUGAUUGAAAUGAGAAGUAUAUAAAUGAUACUCCGAGUAACUAGUUCAGGGCAAGUCUGGUGCCAGCAGCCGCGGUAAUACCAGCUGAGCUAGGGAUGGGUAAUUUUGUUGCAGUAAAAACAUUCGUAGUCACUGUUAAAUUUUAUUUCUUAAAAUCAUUAAGAAACAUAAAUUUUAAAAUACACUCUCCGCGAUUAAAUUAGAACGAUCAAUUUGCAUGGUGAAUACUAAAGCGUGGGAAAUCUGAAGAUAC
RNAcentral lists this ribosomal RNA (692 nucleotides) under uncultured apicomplexan. Its description in RNAcentral is "bacterial SSU rRNA". It matches the Rfam family "Eukaryotic small subunit ribosomal RNA", at positions 3 to 827 of the family's 1831-position model. Lineage: Eukaryota; Apicomplexa. The record is from RNAcentral.